RNAcentral lists this transfer RNA (65 nucleotides) under Capsala pricei. RNAcentral's name for it is "tRNA-Ser". Lineage: Eukaryota; Metazoa; Platyhelminthes; Monogenea; Capsalidea; Capsalidae. The record is from RNAcentral.
GUAAGGUAGGGAUUUUCUCACGCCCGAUUUGAAAUCGGGUGGAUUGUUUUAUUACAAGCUUUAUU